AAGAUACUAGUAAAACGACCAUUACACUGCUUUGUCAAGGCAGAGUUGCAAGUUAAAAACUUGCGUAUCUUG
RNAcentral lists this transfer RNA (72 nucleotides) under Channa maculata (blotched snakehead). RNAcentral describes it as "tRNA-Asp". It matches the Rfam family "tRNA". From Rfam's summary of the family: Transfer RNA (tRNA) molecules are approximately 80 nucleotides in length. Their secondary structure includes four short double-helical elements and three loops (D, anti-codon, and T loops). Lineage: Eukaryota; Metazoa; Chordata; Actinopteri; Anabantiformes; Channidae. RNAcentral also lists the same sequence under 3 other names. The record is from RNAcentral.